This 116-nucleotide small nuclear RNA is filed under the name Jaculus jaculus (lesser Egyptian jerboa). Its description in RNAcentral is "U4 spliceosomal RNA (ENSJJAG00000004282.1)". It matches the Rfam family "U4 spliceosomal RNA". Rfam says of the family: U4 small nuclear RNA (U4 snRNA) is a component of the major U2-dependent spliceosome. The structure of U4 snRNA from yeast and human has been reported. U4 snRNA presents a k-turn RNA motif in the 5p-SL related to recognition of Snu13 protein. The record is from Rfam by way of RNAcentral. Lineage: Eukaryota; Metazoa; Chordata; Mammalia; Rodentia; Dipodidae.
AGCUUUGCGCAGUGGCAGUAUCGUAGCCAAUGAGGUUUAUCCGAGGCGCGAUUAUUGCUAAUUGAAAACUUUUCCCAAAAGAAAAUACAAUGAAUUGUUUUUAACUAAGAGGGUGG